AUGUCCCACGCGCACGCUCAGGUUCCUCCGUGCCGUCCACACCCACCCGACGACUGCUCGCUACGGUUUAUUAGUC
This 76-nucleotide small RNA is filed under the name Xanthomonas campestris pv. campestris. RNAcentral describes it as "sX9 sRNA". It matches the Rfam family "Xanthomonas sRNA sX9". Lineage: Bacteria; Pseudomonadati; Pseudomonadota; Gammaproteobacteria; Lysobacterales; Lysobacteraceae. The record is from RNAcentral.